GAUCCCUUAGCUCAGCGGUAGAGCAUCUGAUUCCAGUCAUGAAGCAUAUAUGCUUUGAAAUUCCAGAAGGUCGUCCGUUCAAUCCGGGCAGGGAUCA
RNAcentral lists this transfer RNA (97 nucleotides) under Marasmius sp. AFHP31. RNAcentral's name for it is "tRNA-Trp". It matches the Rfam family "tRNA". Rfam says of the family: Transfer RNA (tRNA) molecules are approximately 80 nucleotides in length. The record is from RNAcentral. Lineage: Eukaryota; Fungi; Basidiomycota; Agaricomycetes; Agaricales; Marasmiaceae.